This 810-nucleotide ribosomal RNA is filed under the name Hebeloma incarnatulum ectomycorrhiza V24. RNAcentral describes it as "eukaryotic LSU rRNA". It matches the Rfam family "Eukaryotic large subunit ribosomal RNA", at positions 1 to 794 of the family's 3401-position model. Lineage: Eukaryota; Fungi; Basidiomycota; Agaricomycetes; Agaricales; Hymenogastraceae. The record is from RNAcentral.
UUUGACCUCAAAUCAGGUAGGACUACCCGCUGAACUUAAGCAUAUCAAUAAGCGGAGGAAAAGAAACUAACAAGGAUUCCCCUAGUAACUGCGAGUGAAGCGGGAAAAGCUCAAAUUUAAAAUCUGGCGGUCUCCGGCCGUCCGAGUUGUAAUCUAGAGAAGUGUUAUCCGCGCUGGACCGUGUACAAGUCUCCUGGAAUGGAGCGUCAUAGAGGGUGAGAAUCCCGUCUUUGACACGGACUGCCAGGGCUUUGUGAUGCGCUCUCAAAGAGUCGAGUUGUUUGGGAAUGCAGCUCAAAAUGGGUGGUAAAUUCCAUCUAAAGCUAAAUAUUGGCGAGAGACCGAUAGCGAACAAGUACCGUGAGGGAAAGAUGAAAAGAACUUUGGAAAGAGAGUUAAACAGUACGUGAAAUUGCUGAAAGGGAAACGCUUGAAGUCAGUCGCGUUGGCCGGGGAUCAACCUUGCUUUUGCUGGGCGUACUUUCCGGUUGACGGGUCAGCAUCAAUUUUGACCGUUGGAUAAAGUCCAGGGGAAUGUGGCAUCUUCGGAUGUGUUAUAGCCCUUGGUCGCAUACAACGGUUGGGAUUGAGGAACUCAGCACGCCGCAAGGCCGGGUACUUGUACCACGUUCGUGCUCAGGAUGCUGGCAUAAUGGCUUUAAUCGACCCGUCUUGAAACACGGACCAAGGAGUCUAACAUGCCUGCGAGUGUUUGGGUGGAAAACUCGGACGCGUAAUGAAAGUGAAAGUUGAGAUCCCUGUCGCGGGGAGCAUCGACGCCCGGACCAGACCUUUUGUGACGGAUCCGCG